This 31-nucleotide non-coding RNA is filed under the name Mus musculus (house mouse). Lineage: Eukaryota; Metazoa; Chordata; Mammalia; Rodentia; Muridae. The record is from RNAcentral.
UGAAAUACCACUAUCACUUCCACAGCCCACC